GAUGAAGAACGUAGCGAAAUGCGAUAAGUAAUGUGAAUUGCAGAAUUCAGUGAAUCAUCGAAUCUUUGAACGCACAUUGCGCCCCCUGGUAUUCCGGGGGGCAUGCCUGUCCGAGCGUCAUUACAACCCUCAAGCUCAGCUUGGUGUUGGGCCCCGCCGCCCCGGCGGGCCCUAAAGUCAGUGGCGGUGCCGUCCGGCUCCGAGCGUAGUAAUUCUUCUCGCUCUGGAGGUCCGGUCGUGUGCUCGCCAGCAACCCCCAAUUUUUUUCAGGUUGACCUCGGAUCAGGUAGGAAUACCCGCUGAACUUAAGCAUAUCAAUAAGCGGAGGA
RNAcentral lists this unclassified non-coding RNA (329 nucleotides) under soil metagenome. Its description in RNAcentral is "partial contains 5.8S ribosomal RNA, internal transcribed spacer 2, and large subunit ribosomal RNA". The stretch from base 1 to 120 matches the Rfam family "5.8S ribosomal RNA", at positions 35 to 154 of the family's 154-position model. The record is from RNAcentral.